GACGAACGCUGGCGGCGUGCCUAAUACAUGCAAGUAGAACGCUGAAGGAGGAGCUUGCUUCUCUGGAUGAGUUGCGAACGGGUGAGUAACGCGUAGGUAACCUGCCUGGUAGCGGGGGAUAACUAUUGGAAACGAUAGCUAAUACCGCAUAAGAGUAGAUGUCGCAUGACAUUUGCUUAAAAGGUGCAAUUGCAUCACUACCAGAUGGACCUGCGUUGUAUUAGCUAGUUGGUGAGGUAACGGCUCACCAAGGCAACGAUACAUAGCCGACCUGAGAGGGUGAUCGGCCACACUGGGACUGAGACACGGCCCAGACUCCUACGGGAGGCAGCAGUAGGGAAUCUUCGGCAAUGGACGGAAGUCUGACCGAGCAACGCCGCGUGAGUGAAGAAGGUGUUCGGAUCGUAAAGCUCUGUUGUAAGAGAAGAACGAGUGUGAGAGUGGAAAGUUCACACUGUGACGGUAUCGUACCAGAAAGGGACGGCUAACUACGU
Molecule: ribosomal RNA, 494 nt
Filed under: uncultured bacterium
Lineage: Bacteria
Description: partial 16S ribosomal RNA
Rfam family: Bacterial small subunit ribosomal RNA
Source: RNAcentral